Molecule: ribosomal RNA, 1423 nt
Filed under: Vibrio sp. PaD2.27
Lineage: Bacteria; Pseudomonadati; Pseudomonadota; Gammaproteobacteria; Vibrionales; Vibrionaceae
Description: 16S ribosomal RNA
Rfam family: Bacterial small subunit ribosomal RNA
Source: RNAcentral
AUGCAAGUCGAGCGGCAGCGACAACAUUGAACCUUCGGGGGAUUUGUUGGGCGGCGAGCGGCGGACGGGUGAGUAAUGCCUAGGAAAUUGCCCUGAUGUGGGGGGAUAACCAUUGGAAACGAUGGCUAAUACCGCAUGAUGCCUUCGGGCCAAAGAGGGGGACCUUCGGGCCUCUCGCGUCAGGAUAUGCCUAGGUGGGAUUAGCUAGUUGGUGAGGUAAGGGCUCACCAAGGCGACGAUCCCUAGCUGGUCUGAGAGGAUGAUCAGCCACACUGGAACUGAGACACGGUCCAGACUCCUACGGGAGGCAGCAGUGGGGAAUAUUGCACAAUGGGCGCAAGCCUGAUGCAGCCAUGCCGCGUGUGUGAAGAAGGCCUUCGGGUUGUAAAGCACUUUCAGUAGGGAGGAAGGCAGUGUCGUUAAUAGCGGCAUUGUUUGACGUUACCUACAGAAGAAGCACCGGCUAACUCCGUGCCAGCAGCCGCGGUAAUACGGAGGGUGCGAGCGUUAAUCGGAAUUACUGGGCGUAAAGCGCAUGCAGGUGGUUUGUUAAGUCAGAUGUGAAAGCCCAGGGCUCAACCUUGGAAUUGCAUUUGAAACUGGCAAACUAGAGUACUGUAGAGGGGGGUAGAAUUUCAGGUGUAGCGGUGAAAUGCGUAGAGAUCUGAAGGAAUACCGGUGGCGAAGGCGGCCCCCUGGACAGAUACUGACACUCAGAUGCGAAAGCGUGGGGAGCAAACAGGAUUAGAUACCCUGGUAGUCCACGCCGUAAACGAUGUCUACUUGGAGGUUGUGGCCUUGAGCCGUGGCUUUCGGAGCUAACGCGUUAAGUAGACCGCCUGGGGAGUACGGUCGCAAGAUUAAAACUCAAAUGAAUUGACGGGGGCCCGCACAAGCGGUGGAGCAUGUGGUUUAAUUCGAUGCAACGCGAAGAACCUUACCUACUCUUGACAUCUACAGAAGCUUGCGGAGACGCGAGUGUGCCUUCGGGAACUGUAAGACAGGUGCUGCAUGGCUGUCGUCAGCUCGUGUUGUGAAAUGUUGGGUUAAGUCCCGCAACGAGCGCAACCCUUAUCCUUGUUUGCCAGCGAGUAAUGUCGGGAACUCCAGGGAGACUGCCGGUGAUAAACCGGAGGAAGGUGGGGACGACGUCAAGUCAUCAUGGCCCUUACGAGUAGGGCUACACACGUGCUACAAUGGCGCAUACAGAGGGCAGCCAACUUGCGAAAGUGAGCGAAUCCCAAAAAGUGCGUCGUAGUCCGGAUUGGAGUCUGCAACUCGACUCCAUGAAGUCGGAAUCGCUAGUAAUCGUGGAUCAGAAUGCCACGGUGAAUACGUUCCCGGGCCUUGUACACACCGCCCGUCACACCAUGGGAGUGGGCUGCAAAAGAAGUAGGUAGUUUAACCCUUCGGGGAGGACGCU